UUCCAUCUCUACCACCAUGAAAAAAGCAAAAAACACCCAAGAUUUGGCCAUCUCUGCUUAUGGCUGUUGAGACUGAGGUUUGGGCAUGAGGAGUUCUUUAUAUUAUUUUAUACUUCAUACCGUUUUCUUUAUUCUUCAGUAUGUUUGAAAAUCUCCAUAAGUGUUUGCUUGCUUGCUUGUUUCCCCUCCCCUUCCGGUAGUGGGGAUUGAACUCAAAACCUUUCGCUUAGGCAGGCGCCAGCACCACUGCGCUAAAUCCCUAGCUGUUUGCUUAUUUUGAGACGGGGUCUCACUGUAGCCCAGGAUCAUUGCAAAUUCAACCCCAGCGUGGACAACUUAGCAAGAGCCUAUUUCAAAAUAAAAAAUCAUUUUUAGGAGCUAAGAGUGGUAGCUCAGUGACAGAGCACUUGCCUACCAUGCACAAGGGUUUGAUUCGCAACACCACAAAAUCACACUUUUAAUAAUAAUAAAGGCGCAGGCGUGUAGCUCUAUGCAGAGGCUUGGGUUAAAUUUCUAGUAGCGCAAAGAUGAUAGACAAACAGGUAGACAUAGAUAGAUAGGGCCCAAACAUCCCUCCCAUAAGAGAGCUGCUUAAGUGCUAUGAUGGCUCAGAAGGAGCUGGUACAUAGAUGAGGUGGCAUUGGGGCUGGACCUAAAGCAUGAGACGUUUGACAGAAGUGGGAGGGGAGGGCACACCAGCCAAGAGCACAACACAUGAAAGAUACAAAGGAGAGCUGGGGGUGGGGGUGCAGGCCUGUAACUCCAGCACUCCGGAGGCUGAGGCAGGAGGAUCCUCAUGAGUUCCAGACCACCCUGGCUACAUAGUAAGACCCUAUCUCAAAAGAAAAAGCCUAGGAAUAGACCCAAAGGGAAGAUUCUAGAACUUCACCCUUAGUUAGAAAGCAGAGCCCAGCUGGGUGUGCUGGUGCACACCUGUAAUUCCCACAUUCUCUGGGAGGCUGAGACAGGAGGAUCACAACUUUAAACCUAGCCUGGGUAAUUUAGUGACUUAGCAAGAUCCUGUCUCAAAAUUUAAAAAAAAAAAAAAAAAAAAAGGGCUGAGGGUGUAACUCAAUGCAAAGGCCCUGGGUUCCAUCACCAGUACCAAAAAGGAAAAAGAAAACAAAACAGAGCCCAGUCCACAUCUCCAGGUGGGACUUUUUUUUUUUUUUUAACAGCGGG
RNAcentral lists this long non-coding RNA (1182 nucleotides) under Heterocephalus glaber (naked mole-rat). RNAcentral describes it as "lncRNA (ENSHGLG00000041867.1)". The record is from RNAcentral. Lineage: Eukaryota; Metazoa; Chordata; Mammalia; Rodentia; Bathyergidae.